AGCGAACGUUUGCGGCGGGCCUAACACAUGCAAGUCGAACGCACUAGCAAUAGUGAGUGGCGCACGGGUGCGUAACACGUGGGCAACCUGCCUGUAAGACUGGGAUAACAUCGAGAAAUCGGUGCUAAUACCGGAUAAUAAAAAGAACUGCAUGGUUCUUUUUUGAAGAUGGUUUCGGCUAUCACUUACAGAUGGGCCCGCGGCGCAUUAGCUAGUUGGUGAGGUAACGGCUCACCAAGGCAACGAUGCGUAGCCGACCUGAGAGGGUGAUCGGCCACACUGGGACUGAGACACGGCCCAGACUCCUACGGGAGGCAGCAGUAGGGAAUCUUCCGCAAUGGACGAAAGUCUGACGGAGCAACGCCGCGUGAGUGAUGAAGGUUUUACGGUAUCGUAAAACUACUGUUGUUAGGGUAAGGAACAAGUAGCCGUUCCGUAAAGGGACGGGCACCUU
Molecule: ribosomal RNA, 454 nt
Filed under: uncultured bacterium
Lineage: Bacteria
Description: bacterial SSU rRNA
Rfam family: Bacterial small subunit ribosomal RNA
Source: RNAcentral